Molecule: unclassified non-coding RNA, 237 nt
Filed under: Ochrocladosporium sp.
Lineage: Eukaryota; Fungi; Ascomycota; Dothideomycetes; Pleosporales
Also listed under: 1 other name
Description: partial contains 5.8S ribosomal RNA, internal transcribed spacer 2, and large subunit ribosomal RNA
Rfam family: 5.8S ribosomal RNA (bases 1-52)
Source: RNAcentral
AACGCACAUUGCGCCCUCUGGUAUUCCGGGGGGCAUGUCUGUUCGAGCGUCAUUACAACCCUCAAGCUCUGCUUGGUAUUGAGCUCUGCCUGUCAAGGGCAGGUUUUAAAAUCAGCGGCGAUGCUACUUGGCUUCGAGUGCAGUAAAUUUCUCACUAUGGAGUCAGGUAUUGUGAUUGCCAAUAAUCUAAUCAAUAAGGUUGACCUCGGAUCAGAUAGGGAUACCCGCUGAACUUAA